GGACAGGCAGAAGCCUCAAGCUGUGGCCAUCUGGGCAGAGGGAUCCUCCUCCUGGCAUCACUGCUGAGAAGUCCUGGACAGAAGCAUCCAGAAGAAGCCAGCAGCACUACAGGCAGAGAUUGCCUCUUUGCCAGGAGAAAAAGGACAGGCAGAAGUCUUAAGCUGUGGCCAACUGGGCAGAGGGAUCCUCCUCCUGGCAUCACUGUUGGCCAAACUCGAUGAUGGGAGCCCAGAGCACAUCCAGUAGCCCCAGGCGAGAUGCAUGCCCCAACUACCUGCAGAACUCCUCAACAUCUCCUUCAAACUCAGUAUCCACUGAGGGAAACACAGUCCAGAAAGGAUCUUCAGUGCCAUCUAACAGGUGGAGAUGACCCAUUUGACUGAAGAAACACUCAUCCACAAGUGCAUCCACCAAACUUCAGCACAGGUGAGCAGGCUCUUUGCUGUGACUUCUGGAUUCUCAGCUUCUGACUCAAUUUUAGCUUCUUGACUUCAGAGUCCUGGAGAGCUGCGAAGACCACUCUUCUUUUCAAUGCUUGCUUCUCUCUCUUGCUUUUUCAUGCUCUGGACUAGUAAUAAAGCAGGAAAGUGCUUCUAAGCCUGGCUACAAAACGCCAUCAUAUCAGACAAGCCUUCUUCUAAUGCACACCAGUCAUCUGUGGGUGGCUUUGUGGUGGAGACUGAGCCUAGGAUGCUAAGACUGCAAGCAGCCCAGUAAUGAGUGCACAUUCCUGGAAAACAAACCUCCUUGCUUUUGUAUAUUCUGAACUGCAUGAGGACUGAAAGGAGGUCCAAUCCUGUGCUGGGGAAAGCUGAGGGUCUGAUGCAGAGCCUGUUUAUAUCGGGAAAACAGUUGCUGCUGACCGGAGUGAGGUUUUGGGUAGCAGAUAGGUGAAUUCUGCUGCUGGGAUAGGCAGGUUUUGCUGGUGCCUUUGACACUGGCAGUUAACUGGAGUUAUGGGUGUGAAACCAUACUACUCACUUCUGCUUUCUGCCUGCAUGUUCAGUGUGAUGCAUAUAUGGGUUGGGGUUUUGCAAUCAGUGUAUUUCUACAUCAAUUUUGGGUUAUUUCUCUGAUUUUUGAGGCAUGAAUGGGAUAUCAUUUCUGGGCAAAGCAUGAUGUAGUGUAUGGAGGAAGAAAAAUCCAAGAAAAAUAGUAUCUGAAUUGUUUGUUUUACAAGCAAGCACAUGUAGGGGUUUAUUAUUUCUGAAGGCUCUCUUGUCAAUUGGACAUUGAACAAUCUUGACAUGUGUUGCAAGUUAUUGUCCUCCAGAGUCAUUUCACAAAGUUUGGAGUUUGUUUUCUUUAAAAUCCACAAAUAAAGCUCAAAAUUAUCUCCCUGUCUCCAGAGAGGUGCAUGGGAAGCACUUGGGAAAAUACCUCAGACUCCAAGAAGGUGGAGAUGUUCAGCAGAAGUGAGUGAGUGAGUCAUCUCUGCCCUACCAUGGCUUGAGUGAUGAAACUCCCUAUUCACCCUGAGAGAGAACCCCACUGAGGUCCAGAAGAGAUGAGGUAAUGAUCAUUUCAUUAAAACAAAAAUCAAAGAUGGACUGCACAUGCUGACCUGCAACUCCAAACCUUCUGCACCAUCAUCCUGGGAUGCAUCAAGGAUCCUUGUGUUGAUGUUCACAGGUUUGCACAUCGUUGAUAACUCCCCUACUUGCUACUAGGAGCUGGGAAGGCUGCAGCCAAAUCAGCUUUUGCUUUCAGCCUGUCUGCAUUUAUCAGAGAAGAAAUAGUGUCUGUUUGUUUAGGUGAGAUAUUAGUCUGCCCCUGGAGCUCCAGGUCACUGUAAAUGUAACACAAGUCUUAUUUCCUGUUAGGAAAGUGAGAAAAAAUACACCUGUGAAUUGUCUCUGUUCUGCCAAGUGUCAGAGAAGAUUCAAUUUGGGGGAGAACAUAAAUGUAGAUAUGGUAGUUUGCUCUUUGUCUUUGGGCUGCACUUCUCCCUAACCUAACCUGCUGUGUGA
Molecule: long non-coding RNA, 1971 nt
Organism: Pogoniulus pusillus (Red-fronted tinkerbird)
Lineage: Eukaryota; Metazoa; Chordata; Aves; Piciformes; Lybiidae
Exons: 6
Source: RefSeq, a predicted model, not a curated record